Molecule: ribosomal RNA, 225 nt
Filed under: uncultured Streptococcaceae bacterium
Lineage: Bacteria; Bacillati; Bacillota; Bacilli; Lactobacillales; Streptococcaceae
Description: partial 16S ribosomal RNA
Rfam family: Bacterial small subunit ribosomal RNA
Source: RNAcentral
CGCGUAGGUAACCUGCCUGGUAGCGGGGGAUAACUAUUGGAAACGAUAGCUAAUACCGCAUAAUAGUGGAUGUUGCAUGACAUUUGCUUAAAAGGUGCAAUUGCAUCACUACCAGAUGGACCUGCGUUGUAUUAGCUAGUUGGUGGGGUAACGGCUCACCAAGGCGACGAUACAUAGCCGACCUGAGAGGGUGAUCGGCCACACUGGGACUGAGACACGGCCCAA